CCAAUAGCGUAUAUUAAAGUUGCUGCGGUUAAAAAGCUCGUAGUUGAAUUUCGGAAUUGAUGCAUCGGUCGUGCCUUAAAGGGCAUGAACUGGUGUAGCCAAUUUCUCACCUUCUGGUGAAUUGUUGAUGUUCUUAAUGGGUGUCUCAAUGAACUAGAAUUUUUUACUUUGAAAAAAUUAGAGUGUUUAAAGCAGGCAUUGAUUUGCUUGAAUACAUUAGCAUGGAAUAAUGAAAUAGGACAGUGGUUCAGUUUUGUUGGUUUCUAGGAUCACGUAAUGAUUAAUAGGGACAGUUGGGGGCAUUAGUAUUCAAUUGUCAGAGGUGAAAUUCUUGGAUUUAUUGAAGACUAACUAUUGCGAAAGCAUUUGCCAAGGAUGUUUUCAUUAAUCAAGAACGAAAGUUAGGGGAUCAAAGACGAUUAAGUACGUCGUAGUCCUAACCAUAAACUAUACCAACUAGGAAUCAGACGAUGUUAAUUUUUUAAUGACUCGUUUGGUACCUUACG
Molecule: non-coding RNA, 506 nt
Filed under: uncultured Glomeromycotina
Lineage: Eukaryota; Fungi; Glomeromycota
Also listed under: 1 other name
Description: partial small subunit ribosomal RNA
Rfam family: Eukaryotic small subunit ribosomal RNA
Source: RNAcentral